CCACAUUACAUUAAAUAAACACAAUCUUCAUCUGUAUUUCAACGGUAUAUUCUUUUUUUUUUUUUUUUUUUUUUUAAUUUUUUAAAAUUUUCAUCAAACAAUACCUACCCAACUAACCCCGAUUACCUUCAAACAACCGAUCAGAAGACCGUUCUCCAACAUCAUCCAUUUUCCCAGGUGACUUAUUCUUCGACCAACUCGAACCGGUUCGACCCAUAAACGGUGGAGUCCAAGAGAAUCCCCUCCGGUCCGGCCGGUUAAACCAAUCAUAGCUCCUCGCAUUACCACUACUUCCCACACUUCUCGUUCUAUAUCCCCUCCUCCCACUACCCUCUCGAGUAAAAGUAACACCACAACUCGUAACCCGGCUUGGAGUUGAACCCACCAACCGGUUCCGCACUUCCUCCGGUAAUCUCAAAGUGAACCGCUCGUGAUUCUCUCCUUCUUGAACCAGUGAAUGACCUGUUGAAUGUGAGCGUGCAAACGGAACCCAGUUGCCAAUUUUAAACCCUGUUGAACUUGAUCGAACCGGUCGAGCCCGGUUCGGUGUAACUGAAUAAUUCACCUUUGGAGAUGGAGAACGAGACGUAACUGCAAUACCUGGACCUCUAAUAGGACUAAUUCGGGUCGGGUCAUCUGAAUCGGAUAAACUUGAAUCCAGUAUUUGGAUUGAAGCGAAAGAAGUAUCACCGGGUCUUGGAAUCAAAUUAGCCCGACAAACGGGACACGUGGAGUGAUUAACAAGCCAAGCAUCGACACAUUGAGAAUGAAACACGUGGCUACAAUUCGGAAUCAAACGCAGCGUUUCAUCGUCUUGAAACUCGUUUAAGCACACGGCGCAUUCUAGUGCAGCUCUUCCUAUUUUGAGUCCUUUCACGGUGGAGUAAACAAAAGUCGGAAACGUUUCAAUGAUUUCCGUCUCAAGUCCACGGUGUCUCCGGUGACUUCCGGCGAUCGGAAUAGAUAAAUCGAAUCUUCCUCUCAUUCUCUGUUCAGCGCACUGGCGUGUGUAGACUGAGAGAAAACCGAGGAUGAGAAACACGCCGAUUAAGAUGAUAAGCACAAUUGCCAUGGAUUUGUCGAAUUUGAGAGUGGUGAUUUUGUCUGGUGGUGGUGGUGGUGGUGGCAAUGAAUUCGGAAUCUGCGCCGUUGAAGGUUGCGGAGAAAGGAGGAUGAAGAGGAGGAGGAGGAGGUAGAGAAGGGCAUGAUUGGAAUUGAAGUGAAAAUUGAGUGGUAAAGUGUUCAUUUGCUGCUUUUGCAAGCAAAGAAAGAAUUAGAAGACUCUGUUUCUAAUCCUUAUCUUAAUUAUUAAUGAUGAUAGAGUACCCCGCUAAUUACUCUCCUUUGUACUCUUUUUUUCUGAUUGUUUAUGAUUUGCAUCUUCUUUUUGUUACUAAUAAAGGGUAAUAGAAAAAGUAGAUUAAUGAGGUGUUGACUUUUUUUUUAUAUGGAAAGGAAUUGUUGUUCAACUA
RNAcentral lists this long non-coding RNA (1472 nucleotides) under Medicago truncatula (barrel medic). RNAcentral describes it as "lncRNA gene18706". The record is from RNAcentral. Lineage: Eukaryota; Viridiplantae; Streptophyta; Magnoliopsida; Fabales; Fabaceae.